GCCCUGUAACGCAAAAGAUAGCGCUUUGGAUUUCUAAUCCAAAGAUCGUGGGUUCAAUUACCACCUGGAAUG
Non-coding RNA from Trichonephila clavata, 72 nucleotides. The record is from the annotation of a GenBank genome assembly. Lineage: Eukaryota; Metazoa; Arthropoda; Arachnida; Araneae; Nephilidae.